RNAcentral lists this ribosomal RNA (452 nucleotides) under uncultured bacterium. RNAcentral's name for it is "bacterial SSU rRNA". It matches the Rfam family "Bacterial small subunit ribosomal RNA", at positions 338 to 795 of the family's 1533-position model. The record is from RNAcentral.
CCUANGGGUGGCAGCAGUGGGGAAUUUUGGACAAUGGACGAAAGUCUGAUCCAGCGACGCCGCGUGGAGGACGAAGGUUUUCGGAUCGUAAACUCCUUUUACAGGGGACGAAAGCGGGCAACCGUUUGACGGUACUCUGUGAAUAAGCCACGGCUAACUACGUGCCAGCAGCCGCGGUAAUACGUAGGUGGCGAGCGUUACUCGGAAUUACUAGGCGUAAAGCGCGUGUAGGCGGGAGCUUAAGUCUGUUGUGAAAGCUCAGGGCUCAACCCUGAAAUGUCAACAGAAACUGGGUUUCUUGAGUGCGGUAGAGGAGAUCGGAAUUCCAGGUGUAGCUGUGAAAUGCGUAGAUAUCUGGAAGAACGCCAAAGGCGAAGGCAGAUCUCUGGGCCGUUACUGACGCUGAGACGCGAAAGCUAGGGGAGCAAACAGGAUUAGAUACCCGGNUANUC